CUUGCUGGGCUGGAUGAGUGGCGAACGGGUGAGUAACACGUGAGUAACCUGCCCUCUUCUUUGGGAUAACGGUCGGAAACGGCUGCUAAUACCGGGUAUUCACUGUCCUCCGCAUGGGGGGUGGUGGAAAGGUUUUUUCUGGUGGGGGAUGGGCUCGCGGCCUAUCAGCUUGUUGGUGGGGUGAUGGCUUACCCCGGCUUUGACGGGUAACCGGCCUGAGAGGGUGACCGGUCUCAUUGGGACUGAGAUACGGCCCCCACUCCUACCGGAGGCACCUUUGGGCAAUAUUGCAUUUUGCGCGAAAGCAUGAUCCCCCCCCGCCUCGUGCGGGGAGGAAGUCCCUCUUCGGUUUUUUUUUUUCUUUCAUGGUUUCCUCUGCU
Molecule: ribosomal RNA, 380 nt
Filed under: uncultured Streptococcus sp.
Lineage: Bacteria; Bacillati; Bacillota; Bacilli; Lactobacillales; Streptococcaceae
Description: partial 16S ribosomal RNA
Rfam family: Bacterial small subunit ribosomal RNA (bases 1-324)
Source: RNAcentral